Molecule: long non-coding RNA, 1073 nt
Organism: Tachysurus fulvidraco (yellow catfish)
Lineage: Eukaryota; Metazoa; Chordata; Actinopteri; Siluriformes; Bagridae
Exons: 2
Source: RefSeq, a predicted model, not a curated record
AUCAAUGUAAAACCUGAACAGAUAAGAGAAUGAUGUUCUUUACUGCUGCCUCGUCUAUAUACUGGUUACGACAGCAUGUGACAUGUCGCAGUAGAUUAGAGAAGAUGUGUGAUCUCCUUCUGUUUUUCUCUCUUUAAUAAAAAUGUACAUUAACCCUGUUGCAUAAGUUUACACACCUUUUCUAAUUGCUAAUGUGGCAGUGUUCAGAAUCGACCAAUCACGUUCAAACUUUUGUUAAAUACCAACUAGAAGAUACCUGCUGUCAAUUAAAGUGACUGAUGGACACCAAAUAAAGUACAGCUGUUCCUGUAGGAUUGUUCAUUUUAGUAACUGGAAAAGCCAUGGGGCUGCAAAGAGCUGACAAAGCAGGUACAGGAUCUCAUUGUUGAGAAAUAUCAAUUAGGAGAGGGUUACAAACAAAUUUCAAGACAGUGAAUAUACCAUGGAACACUGGAAAGACAAUUGUUACAUUUUAUACUUGUGGGUUCGGUGUUUUGUUUGUUCUUUCUCUGUCUCUCUCUUUGCUCCACUAUCUACCUUUUCAGAUCCCUACCAUUGGACAUCUCCUGUCAAUCUUCAUUAUCCUGUGUGACAUCACCCAUCGAUCCACCAAUCAACCAGAAACAGAAUCACGAUUAGAAUCAGAAACAGAAACAGAAGGAGAAAGAAGAAGUGUGCUAAAUUUGUUAGAGAGCUAUGUUGUUGUUCAUUUGUUUUUAGUAUGUCAGACUGUUCAUGUAUCCCAUCUUGUUAGUCACUUUGUGUAUGUGACUUGUUUUUCAUUUUGUGUAUGUGACUUGUUUUUCAUUUUGUGUAUGUGACUCGUUAGUCACUUUGUGUAUGUGACUCGUUAGUCACUUUGUGUAUGUGACUCGUUAGUCACUUUGUGUAUGUGACUCGUUAGUCACUUUGUAUGUGACUUGUUAAUCACUCGUUCUGCAUCUGUAUGCUUGUGUUUAUUCUCUUUGUGGAUGUGAAUUUGUUUAUAUUGGGGAAAACUAGACAGAUAUCCUGAAUGUUAUCACCUUUGUCAGCACCACUUGUAUGAUAAUAGAGACAGAUUUUGCCCACUA